RNAcentral lists this unclassified non-coding RNA (130 nucleotides) under uncultured Glomeromycotina. RNAcentral's name for it is "sequence contains ITS1". Lineage: Eukaryota; Fungi; Glomeromycota. The record is from RNAcentral.
AAAGAGGGUCGCAAGACCCAUUUUUAAAACCUACCACCGCCUCUCAUUGGGAUGGAGGAGGUAUGGUUUUUUAAAGUCCACUUAUUACAAAUAUAUAUCGUCUAACGACGAAACAAAAAAAAUUAUCUAA